CGCCGGGGUGAUCAGGCCGAUCAGAUGGGCGCUCACGUCGGCCAGGAGGGUCGAGGGUUCGACCCUCACCCCGGCCAC
Molecule: transfer RNA, 78 nt
Filed under: Sinosporangium siamense
Lineage: Bacteria; Bacillati; Actinomycetota; Actinomycetes; Streptosporangiales; Streptosporangiaceae
Description: tRNA-Val
Source: RNAcentral